RNAcentral lists this ribosomal RNA (246 nucleotides) under uncultured bacterium. Its description in RNAcentral is "partial 16S ribosomal RNA". It matches the Rfam family "Bacterial small subunit ribosomal RNA", at positions 115 to 353 of the family's 1533-position model. The record is from RNAcentral.
GCGUAGGUAACCUGCCUUGUAGCGGGGGAUAACUAUUGGAAACGAUAGCUAAUACCGCAUAACAAUGGAUGACACAUGUCAUUUAUUUUGAAAGGGGCAAUUGCUCCACUACAAGAUGGACCUGCGUUGUAUUAGCUAGUAGGUGAGGUAAUGGCUCACCUAGGCGACGAUACAUAGCCGACCUGAGAGGGUGAUCGGCCACACUGGGACUGAGACACGGCCCAGACUCCUACGGGAGGCAGCAUG